AUUCAUUUAGUAUAUAAAGUAUAUUUAACUUCCAAUUAAAAGGAUUAACUAAAAUGAAUA
RNAcentral lists this transfer RNA (60 nucleotides) under Gargara sp. 16071360. Its description in RNAcentral is "tRNA-Gly". Lineage: Eukaryota; Metazoa; Arthropoda; Insecta; Hemiptera; Membracidae. The record is from RNAcentral. RNAcentral also lists the same sequence under 1 other name.